GUGUUCUGCAACGUAUUUACUUAAUAGAUAGAGCGUGUAUGCUACGAAAGCCUACAUCCUUGAAAACUGCACAGUCGUCAUGGGUGAAUUUGCCUAGACCACUUCCUAAAUCCAAAGCAUCUUUGAAAAGUCCUGCGCUGCGGAGGACAGGAAGCACCCCCUCAAUAGCCAGCACCCAUAGUGAGCUGAGCACUUACAGCAACAAUUCUGGUAAUGCCACUGUCAUCAAAUAUGAGGAGAAACCUCCAAAACCAGCAUUUCAGAAUGGUUCCUCAGGAUCCUUUUAUUUGAAGCCUUUGGUAUCCAGGGCUCAUGUUCACUUGCUGAAAACUCCUCCAAAAGGUCCUUCGAGAAAAAAUUUAUUUACAGCUCUUAAUGCAGUUGAAAAGAGCAGGCAAAAGAAUCCUCGAAGCUUAUGUAUCCAGACACAGACAGCUCCCGAUGUGCUGCCCCCUGAGAAAACACUUGAAUUGACGCAAUAUAAAACAAAAUGUGAAAACCAAAGUGGAUUUAUCCUGCAGCUCAAGCAGCUUCUUGCCUGUGGUAAUACCAAGUUUGAGGCAUUGACAG
Molecule: small RNA, 570 nt
Filed under: Pongo abelii (Sumatran orangutan)
Lineage: Eukaryota; Metazoa; Chordata; Mammalia; Primates; Hominidae
Description: processed transcript
Source: RNAcentral